AAUCAACGCUGGCGGCGUGCCUCAGACAUGCAAGUCAAACGCGAAAGUCCCCUUCGGGGGAUGAGUAGAGUGGCGCUCGGGUGAGUAACACGUAGGUAAUCUACCUUUGGGUAGGGAAUAACAGCCGGAAACGGCUGCUAAUACCGCAUAAUGCAGCGGCUCGACAUCGAGACAGUUGUUAAAGCGGGGGAUUCCGAAAGGAACCUCGCGCCUAAAGAGGAGCCUGCGGCAGAUAGCUAGUUGGUAAGGUAAUGGCUUACCAAGGCUUCGAUCUGUAGCCGGCCUGAGAGGGCGGUCGGCCACACUGACACUUAAAUACGGGUCAGACUCCUACGGGAGGCAGCAGUCGGGAAUCUUGCGCAAUGGGCGAAAGCCUGACGCAGCAACGCCGCGUGGAGGAUGAAGGCCC
Molecule: ribosomal RNA, 409 nt
Filed under: uncultured bacterium
Lineage: Bacteria
Description: bacterial SSU rRNA
Rfam family: Bacterial small subunit ribosomal RNA
Source: RNAcentral